UUUCCGUAGGUGAACCUGCGGAAGGAUCAUUAAAGAAUUUGCCCCGUCCUCUCGAGGAUGGGUCCUCUUCUAAACCGUGUAUACAUACCUUUGUUGCUUUGGCGGGCCGCCGUCUCGGCGUUGGCUUCGGCUGACUGUGCCCGCCAGAGAACCCCAACUCUUCUGUUUAGUAUUGUCUGAGUACUAUAUAAUAGUUAAAACUUUCAACAACGGAUCUCUUGGUUCUGGCAUCGAUGAGGAACGCAGC
RNAcentral lists this unclassified non-coding RNA (247 nucleotides) under plant metagenome. Its description in RNAcentral is "partial contains small subunit ribosomal RNA, internal transcribed spacer 1, and 5.8S ribosomal RNA". The stretch from base 199 to 247 matches the Rfam family "5.8S ribosomal RNA", at positions 1 to 49 of the family's 154-position model. The record is from RNAcentral.